This 419-nucleotide ribosomal RNA is filed under the name uncultured bacterium. Its description in RNAcentral is "bacterial SSU rRNA". It matches the Rfam family "Bacterial small subunit ribosomal RNA", at positions 28 to 457 of the family's 1533-position model. The record is from RNAcentral.
GAUGAACGCUGACAGAAUGCUUAACACAUGCAAGUCAACUUGAACUUCGGUUUGGGUGGCGGACGGGUGAGUAACGCGUAAAGAACUUACCUCACAGAUAGGGACAACAUUUGGAAACGAAUGCUAAUACCUAAUAUUAUGAUUUUAGGGCAUCCUAGGAUUAUGAAAGCUAUAUACGCUGUGAGAGAGCUUUGCGUCCCAUUAGCUAGUUGGAGAGGUAACGGCUCACCAAGGCGAUGAUGGGUAGCCGGCCUGAGAGGGUGAUCGGCCACAAGGGGACUGAGACACGGCCCUUACUCCUACGGGAGGCAGCAGUGGGGAAUAUUGGACAAUGGACCAAGAGUCUGAUCCAGCAAUUCUGUGUGCACGAUGAAGUUUUUCGGAAUGUAAAGUGCUUUCAGUNGGGAAGAAAAAAANGA